GCUCGGUUGGUCUAGCGGUAUGAUUCUCGCUUAGGGUUCACUCUAAGUAAUUUGCGAGAGGUCCCCGGUUCAAUCCCGGGAUCGAGCC
This is a non-coding RNA of Geopyxis carbonaria, 88 nucleotides long. The record is from the annotation of a GenBank genome assembly. NCBI's taxonomy places the organism in Eukaryota, Fungi, Ascomycota, Pezizomycetes, Pezizales, Tarzettaceae.